GACGAACGCUGGCGGCGUGCCUAAUACAUGCAAGUUGAGCGCUGAAGGUUGGUACUUGUACCAACUGGAUGAGCAGCGAACGGGUGAGUAACGCGUGGGGAAUCUGCCUUUGAGCGGGGGACAACAUUUGGAAACGAAUGCUAAUACCGCAUAAAAACUUUAAACACAAGUUUUAAGUUUGAAAGAUGCAAUUGCAUCACUCAAAGAUGAUCCCGCGUUGUAUUAGCUAGUUGGUGAGGUAAAGGCUCACCAAGGCGAUGAUACAUAGCCGACCUGAGAGGGUGAUCAGCCACAUUGGGACUGAGACACGGCCCAAACUCCUACGGGAGGCAGCAGGAGUGAUUCUUCGGCAAUGGACGAAAGUCUGACCGAGCAACGCCGCGUGAGUGAAGAAGGUUUUCGGAUCGUAAAACUCUGUUGGUAGAGAAGAACGUUGGUGAGAGUGGAAAGCUCAUCAAGUGACGGUAACUACACAGAAAGGGACGGCUAACUACGUG
RNAcentral lists this ribosomal RNA (497 nucleotides) under uncultured bacterium. RNAcentral's name for it is "partial 16S ribosomal RNA". It matches the Rfam family "Bacterial small subunit ribosomal RNA", at positions 28 to 507 of the family's 1533-position model. The record is from RNAcentral.